AUGGAGGACCGAACGAGUAAACGUUGAAAAGUUUUUCGAUGAACUGAGGGUAGGGGUGAAAGGCCAAUCAAACUGGGAAAUAGCUCGUACUCCCCGAAAUGCAUUUAGGUGCAGCCUCAAGACUGAGUUUUACAGAGGUAGAGCUACUGAUAGGACGCGAGGGCUUCACCGCCUAUCAACUCCUGACAAACUCCGAAUGCUGUAAAAUGAUUAAUAGGAGUGAGGGCAUGGGUGCUAAGGUCCGUGUCCGAGAGGGAAAGAACCCAGACCAUCAGCUAAGGUCCCCAAAUGUAUGCUAAGUUGAACAAACGCGGUAUGGUUGCACAGACAGCUAGGAUGUUGGCUUGGAAGCAGCCAUUCAUUUAAAGAGUGCGUAACAGCUCACUAGUCGAGCGACCGUGCAUGGAUAAUAAUCGGGCAUAAGCAUACUACCGAAGCUAUGGAUUGUUAAUUUAUUAACAGUGGUAGGGGAGCAUUCCAAACCUGCGCCGAAGCAGUACUGUGAGGUAUUGUGGAGCGUUUGGAAAAGCAAAUGUAGGCAUAAGUAACGAUAAUGAGAGUGAGAAACUCUCACGCCGAAAGACCAAGGUUUCCUGAUCAACGCUAAUCGGAUCAGGGUUAGUCGGGACCUAACGCGAACCCGAAAGGGGUAGUGGAUGGCAAACAGGUUAAUAUUCCUGUACCCGUUAUACACAAAAAGUGACGGAUGAGUGAGGUAUCUGAGUGCUGACGGAAUAGCACCCUGAGCCUAGGCUUCGGCCGAAGCGAAGAUAAGCAACUUGUCCCAAGAAAAGCGAGUAUAACGGCUCGUACCGUAAACGGACACACGUAGUUGGGUUGAGUAUACUAAGGCGCUCGAGUGAUUCACGGCUAAGGAACUCGGCAAAUUGACCCUGUAACUUCGGGAUAAAGGGAUCCCAUUCAGCGAUGGAUGGGACGCAGAGAAAUGGCCCAGGCGACUGUUUAUCAAAAACACAUGGCUUUGCUAAAUCGAAAGAUGAUGUAUAAGGCCUGACACCUGCCCGGUGCUGGAAGGUUAAGAGGAGAUGUUAGGGGUAACCCGAAGCGUUGAAUUGAAGCCCCAGUAAACGGCGGCCGUAACUAUAACGGUCCUAAGGUAGCGAAAUUCCUUGUCGGGUAAGUUCCGACCUGCACGAAUGGUGUAACGAUCUGGGCACUGUCUCAGCCACGAGCUCGGUGAAAUUGUAGUUCCGGUGAAGAUGCCGGAUACCCGCAACGGGACGGAAAGACCCCGUGAACCUUUACUAUAACUUAGCAUUGAUUUUGGGUAAGUGAUGUGUAGGAUAGGUCGGAGACAAUGAAGCGGUUUCGCCAGGAAUCGUGGAGUCAUCCUUGAAAUACGACCCUUUGUUUAUCUGGAACCUAACUCCCUGAAAAGGGAAGACAUUGCUUGGUGGGUAGUUUGACUGGGGUGGUCGCCUCCAAAAGAGUAACGGAGGCUCCUCAAGGUGCCCUCAGCACGAUUGGUAACCGUGCGCAGAGUGUAAUGGCAUAAGGGCGCUUGACUGUGAGACUGACAAGUCGAUCAGGUAGGAAACUAGAGCAUAGUGAUCCGGUGGUUCCGCAUGGAAGGGCCAUCGCUCAAAGGAUAAAAGGUACUCCGGGGAUAACAGGCUGAUCGCCGCCAAGAGCUCAUAUCGACGCGGCGGUUUGGCACCUCGAUGUCGGCUCGUCACAUCCUGGGGCUGGAGAAGGUCCCAAGGGUUGGGCUGUUCGCCCAUUAAAGUGGCACGCGAGCUGGGUUCAGAACGUCGUGAGACAGUUCGGUCCCUAU
RNAcentral lists this ribosomal RNA (1795 nucleotides) under bioreactor metagenome. RNAcentral's name for it is "bacterial LSU rRNA". It matches the Rfam family "Bacterial large subunit ribosomal RNA", at positions 766 to 2641 of the family's 2925-position model. The record is from RNAcentral.